This 465-nucleotide ribosomal RNA is filed under the name Vreelandella stevensii. Its description in RNAcentral is "partial 16S ribosomal RNA". It matches the Rfam family "Bacterial small subunit ribosomal RNA", at positions 338 to 795 of the family's 1533-position model. Lineage: Bacteria; Pseudomonadati; Pseudomonadota; Gammaproteobacteria; Oceanospirillales; Halomonadaceae. The record is from RNAcentral.
CCUACGGGUGGCUGCAGUGGGGAAUAUUGGACAAUGGGCGAAAGCCUGAUCCAGCCAUGCCGCGUGUGUGAAGAAGGCCUUCGGGUUGUAAAGCACUUUCAGUGGGGAAGAAAGCCUUGGGGCUAAUACCCUCGAGGAAGGACAUCACCCACAGAAGAAGCACCGGCUAACUCCGUGCCAGCAGCCGCGGUAAUACGGAGGGUGCGAGCGUUAAUCGGAAUUACUGGGCGUAAAGCGCGCGUAGGCGGUCUGAUAAGCCGGUUGUGAAAGCCCCGGGCUCAACCUGGGAACGGCAUCCGGAACUGGCAGGCGAGAGUGCAGGAGAGGAAGGUAGAAUUCCCGGUGUAGCAGUGAAAUGCGUAGAGAUCGGGAGGAAUACCAGUGGCGAAGGCGGCCUUCUGGACUGACACUGACGCUGAGGUGCGAAAGCGUGGGUAGCAAACAGGAUUAGAUACCCCAGUAGUC